AGUGAACGCUGGCGGUAGGCCUAACACAUGCAAGUCGAACGGCAGCACAGUAAGAGCUUGCUCUUACGGGUGGCGAGUGGAGGACGGGUGAGGAAUACAUCGGAAUCUACUUUUUCGUGGGGGAUAACGUAGGGAAACUUACGCUAAUACCUCAUACGACCUACGGGUGAAAGCAGGGGAUCUUCGGACCUUGCGCGAUUGAAUGAGCCGAUGUCGGAUUAGCUAGUUGGCGGGGUAAAGGCCCACCAAGGCGACGAUCCGUAGCUGGUCUGAGAGGAUGAUCAGCCACACUGGAACUGAGACACGGUCCAGACUCCUACGGGAGGCAGCAGUGGGGAAUAUUGGACAAUGGGCGCAAGCCUGAUCCAGCCAUACCGCGUGGGUGAAGAAGGCCUUCGGGUUGUAAAGCCCUUUUGUUGGGAAAGAAAAGCAGCAGGUUAAUACCCCGCUGUUCUGACGGUACCCAAAGAAUAAGCACCGGCUAACUUCGUG
Molecule: ribosomal RNA, 492 nt
Filed under: uncultured bacterium
Lineage: Bacteria
Description: partial 16S ribosomal RNA
Rfam family: Bacterial small subunit ribosomal RNA
Source: RNAcentral